AUACGGAGGGUGCAAGCGUUACUCGGAAUCACUGGGCGUAAAGCGCGCGCAGGCGGCUUGAUAAGUUGGAUGUGAAAGCCUACGGCUCAACCGUAGAACUGCAUCCAAAACUGUCAGGCUAGAGUGUGGGAGAGGAAGAUGGAAUUAGUUGUGUAGGGGUAAAAUCCGUAGAGAUAACUAGGAAUACCAAAAGCGAAGGCAAUCUUCUGGAACACUACUGACGCUGAGGCGCGAAGGCGUGGGGAGCAAACAGGAGUAGAAACCCCAGUAGUCC
RNAcentral lists this ribosomal RNA (274 nucleotides) under uncultured bacterium. Its description in RNAcentral is "partial 16S ribosomal RNA". It matches the Rfam family "Bacterial small subunit ribosomal RNA", at positions 523 to 796 of the family's 1533-position model. The record is from RNAcentral.